This 1329-nucleotide long non-coding RNA is filed under the name Homo sapiens (human). RNAcentral's name for it is "HSALNT0368010". Lineage: Eukaryota; Metazoa; Chordata; Mammalia; Primates; Hominidae. The record is from RNAcentral.
GGCGCCAGGCGCUCCGGCCGCAAGGGAGCAGGGAGCCCUGCCAGCUGGGCCACCCGAGGGGCGUUGCGGGGCUCCGGGCGGGGUCGACCCGGGGGGCUCCGUCGGGCCCCACCAGCCUUGCGCCUUUUUCGCUCGGUCUCCUUGGCCUCCCGCUCCUGCGACGCCGCUUUCCUUUUCUCUUGCUCCCGAGCUCGGACCUCGGCCAGGGGCCCCGCCCGCCAGUUGGUCGCCUCCUGCAGCACCCUGGAGGCCCAGGGCCGGCGGGGCGGCGGCUGUGGGGAUCCCGGGCGCGGCCCACACCUGGGACAAUGAGCAGGAACCCAGGGAAUGUGACUUCACUGGACGCAGUAUAAAGAUCUUCAGAUGUCCUCCUGCCGGGGAUUGCAGGGAUCACAGAAAGACCAUCGAGGUCCAGGAGCUACCUGCAAGCGGAGAUCCCUCUGGACGCCCCGUGCCUCACCCAGCAAAGCCGGCUCACAACCCUGCGCUCUCAAACCUCUAAAAGGGCUUGAGGUGCCAAUAGGAAAGGAGGCCCGAGAUUGCCACGGCAUACGUGGGCCCCAAGGAGGGAGCCAGGAGUCACUGCCUGCUUGGGCUAAGGGUACCGCGUACGGAAAGGCGGCGGGGACGCGGCCCAGUUCCAGGAGAUGCGCCCAACGAAGAAGCGGAGGAACAGGGUCACGGGAUAGGGCAGACACCCGGCUGCUUUUUGUUUGCUAGACACCAGCGCCAGCCCCUGCCCGGCCCUCCCGGUCUCCUAAGGGUUGGGGGGGUGUCUUAGGCUCCACAGCGCCCCCGACCGCCCUCCUGCACUCCUCACCGUCUCCAUUGCAAGAGGCGCCCGGCUUGGUUUCCUCGCUUUAGGAAACUCUCUUGGGGCAGGCCCCGCCCCACAUCCGGUGCGGCGACGCCACUUCCGCCCACGUCAUGGCAGUCGCCAGACUGGGGCGGAAGGCAAGGAACCCACCCUUCCGGCGGUGGCGGGCCUCGGUAACCGCCCUCCCCCGGGUCCUCGCGGACCGCACGGAUCCGGCUGACGGCGAGGGUCAUGGGACGGAGCCGCUUGUAUUUAAAAUGUUCUUUUUUUAUUUGUCGUUUAAAAACAAACUUGGAAGAAGCAAAAUCCAAAACUUGCCCUUUGCCUCUCGCAACAUAAAUAUGUACAGUUCAGAAUGAUCGCUGAUACAAAACAUGCCAAGGACAGGGGCGCUGAGGGUGGAGGGAGAGAGGGCGCUUUAAAAAAGGGAACCAUUUCAUCCGUUGUUACGAAGGACCAACCUUGCUGUACAGGAUACACACAACACAAAAUAAAGUCUUCACGGGAUUCAC